Molecule: ribosomal RNA, 1365 nt
Filed under: Triticum aestivum (bread wheat)
Lineage: Eukaryota; Viridiplantae; Streptophyta; Magnoliopsida; Poales; Poaceae
Description: partial small subunit ribosomal RNA
Source: RNAcentral
AUGGACAGCGAAGCACCCGAGAAAGUGCCAGCACUAGCUUCCAGCAGGGAGGGCAACAAAAAGCAAGUGACUAGCAGCAGAAAAGAGGAGCAAUCAGAAACCAAGACUGUCAUUCCUCCUAGAGGAAAAAGACAAAAGAGAAAGGACAAAACUCAACUCAUCAACGAUGGUGGUAGCUUGAAGCAGCAGCAGCCAAGUCCUCUAAUGAUAACCCCGCCAGCAGUUCCACGCGCCGACAAUGAUGUAAAUAAAGCUAAGAAGAAAAACAAAAGACAACGGUUGGAAGAAGACGAGGAUGAUGCCAGCAAAGAGUCAAAGCGUGAUACUCCCGACGACGAUGAUGGCACAAAACACGAUGAUGAUGUCAUUUGUACAGAGGGCGAUGGCGCCGCAGGGGACAACGGUGGUGCCGCAGAGGACGGAAACGAUGAUAUAAAAACAAGGCAGAAGCGCACAAAGAUAAGAAAGACAAGUGGAAAAGAAUUGGCAGCAGCAACGGAUGAUGAACAGGAGGCAACAACAAAUAAGGACAAAUGCGAGAUCAAGGCAGGAGCAGCAUUUGAUAAUGUCAAUAAAGCAUGGAAAUUACUUGAGGAACGUCACCGGCAAGAUGUUAGGGAAGCCGGGUUUGGAAGCAUAGAGGGAUGCCAAAUAAAGUGCUCCAUAUGCAAACCGCUUGCAGCACACAUGUAUGGCAAACUGGAAAUAGAAACCAUGAAAAUAAAGUUCGGUGAACCUGAUCAGCAGAAAGAAAUCAGAAUAACAAAGGAAGGCAUUCACAAGGUGUUUGGAUACCCAAACGGUACGGAAAAGACAGCACCAAGGCCAAAGAUUUCCACCGAGACAAUGACCGAACUGGUCACAGAACUUGGCCUCAAGAAAAUGGGUUUCCAUCAUGAUGAUCUAUUUAAAGAACUAGAAAAAUUGGUGAAACAAGAUGAUGAACAAUCAAACAGGAAAUCAGUUAAAAUAUUUUUCCUUAUUUUUUUCCACAAUAUUGUCUGUGGAACAACCUCCCCUACCUUCUGCAAACAAGCCAUUAUGGUCAAGGACUUGGACUAUCCAGAAGUGGCAAAGAUGGAUUUCUGCAAGGUAAUCGUCGAAAGUAUUAGGGAAGGAACAAAGACAUGGAAGAAGCACAGGUUGUUGCCACAGGAAGAAAAGAACAAAAAGCAUCUCAAUGGUUUGGCGCAAGGACCAGUAAUAAUGUACCUCGACUGCCUGCUGUUGCCGACCAACACAAAACAAAUGCGGAAGAUUGCCAACACAAUGGACAAGAUAUUUUUACCGCGAGCAAACCACCUAAAUGAGAGUUACCUAAGGAAAAUAGCUAGAGCAGACAUGAAAACGGACGGAAAAGCAUGA